RNAcentral lists this transfer RNA (70 nucleotides) under Cryptoprocta ferox (fossa). Its description in RNAcentral is "tRNA-His". It matches the Rfam family "tRNA". From Rfam's summary of the family: Transfer RNA (tRNA) molecules are approximately 80 nucleotides in length. Their secondary structure includes four short double-helical elements and three loops (D, anti-codon, and T loops). Lineage: Eukaryota; Metazoa; Chordata; Mammalia; Carnivora; Eupleridae. The record is from RNAcentral.
GUAAACAUAGUUUAACACAAAACACCGGAUUGUGAGCCCGGCGAUAGAGGUUCAAACCUUCUUAUUUACC